Long non-coding RNA from Branchiostoma floridae (Florida lancelet), 408 nucleotides. RefSeq lists it as uncharacterized. The record is from RefSeq and is a predicted model, not a curated record. Lineage: Eukaryota; Metazoa; Chordata; Leptocardii; Amphioxiformes; Branchiostomatidae. The transcript has 2 exons.
UUCACUUUUGUUGCGUCAGCCUGAUUUGUACGUGACAUAGGCAACCGCAUGUAGCCGCUACGGAAAUGUGAAUUUUCUGAUGGAAAAAGCUGAAGACACAUUAGACUUUCAUAGGUAGAUUUCUAAUAUAUUUCAUAAUGUAAUCUAAUCUUAGGCUAUUAUUUUUAUUCAAUGAUAUUAAGGGAUUUUAAGCUUAUCUAUUUCAUUUGGCGCUAUUUUAAUUGGUUAUUCGCGUUUGGUGACCACUACAGAAGGCAACAUUCACAUCCACCAUUUUGGAACGAACGUUGUGAGUAGUGACUGCUGCAGUCCUCAGCUGCCACAGAAUUGAACCAAAACCUACUGAAAAUCAAACUUUACAGUCAAUUAGAAGAACAAUUCACACUAAUAAACAUUUUACUCAAACUU